GUAGGUGGCAAGCGUUGUCCGGAAUUAUUGGGCGUAAAGCGCGCGCAGGCGGUUCUUUAAGUCUGAUGUGAAAGCCCACGGGCUCAACCGUGGAGGGUCAUUGGAAACUGGAGAACUUGAGUACAGAAGAGGAAAGCGGAAUUCCACGUGUAGCGGUGAAAUGCGUAGAGAUGUGGAGGAACACCAGUGGCGAAGGCGGCUUUCUGGUCUGUAACUGACGCUGAGGCGCGAAAGCGUGGGGAGCAAACAGGAUUAGAUACCCUGGUAGUCCACGCCGUAAACGAUGAGUGCUAGGUGUUAGGGGGUUUCCGCCCCUUAGUGCUGCAGCUAACGCAUUAAGCACUCCGCCUGGGGAGUACGGCCGCAAAGGCUG
This 373-nucleotide ribosomal RNA is filed under the name uncultured organism. RNAcentral's name for it is "partial 16S ribosomal RNA". It matches the Rfam family "Bacterial small subunit ribosomal RNA", at positions 527 to 896 of the family's 1533-position model. The record is from RNAcentral.